CAACCAUCAAGCUCUGCUUGCGUUGGGGAUCCGCGGCUGUCCGCGGUCCCUCAAAAUCAGUGGCGGGCUCGCUAGUCACACCGAGCGUAGUAACUCUACAUCGCUAUGGUCGUGCGGCGGGUUCUUGCCGUAAAACCCCCCAUUUCUAA
This 149-nucleotide unclassified non-coding RNA is filed under the name uncultured Ascomycota. Its description in RNAcentral is "sequence contains ITS2". RNAcentral also lists the same sequence under 2 other names. Lineage: Eukaryota; Fungi; Ascomycota. The record is from RNAcentral.